UUUCCACUUUUACUUGUGUUUAAAAGCUUUUCGCUCUAUUUUACCCCUCUAGGGUUUCCCACAAGUUCACCGUCCUACUCAUCUCCUUUCUCUCAGAUCUUAUUUCCCCGCUUUUCCCUUGUUAAAGCUUUCAAUCUCCCACUCCACUUUCACCUAAACCCUAAACCCUAAACCCUAAAACUCCAGACUGGCUAUGCAACCCGUGACUGCUGAAUGCCAAACACAGGACACCGCGGAAUUACUGCGAAACUUCCCACGCACGGACAAAACAAAUGACGAAUUAUUCGCGUGGCCCCCACUUCAAUUACCUAAGCCUCCCGUGCACCAAAACUAUGGGCAAAACUGUAGGCCCCGCCGCAAAAUCAAAACUGCCUCGCUGCUUCCUCCGAAGAAACGACGAAAUUGCGGACCCCGCCAAUUUAACGUCUUGCAGGAUCCUUCCUCCUCCUACAUUUGGCCACUCCUUCCCACUUCGCUUAUAAAAGAAACCAUUCGAUGCAUCAAAGGGACACGACAUGAGACGAAAAAAAAAAGGGAACAUUAGAUAACACACCCACCUGAGAUAGAGAAAGAAGAAGCGCAUUAAGGAAGAUCCAUUCGUCGCCAAGAAAAAAAGAGAAUUACAUAGGAGAGCAUCCUACCUCCACAAAUAUCCUCUUAAUGGCCUUUCUUUUCCUUCCUUUUUUGUAAAUAUUUCCUACCGCAACUAUACCCUGAAAUAAGGAGUCUGUAUAAAAGGAGUCUUUCUUUUUCCCUCGGGCAGUCCCGGAAGGAAAACCUUCUAACUUUGUGAUGUAAGUUUUAUCUUUUGUUAUAUUGUAUUUCUCGAACUCUUGUAUCCAUGGCAUUUUCUUUGCUCCAUGAAACCCUUUUCUUGAACUCUUCAUGAAAUUUCCUGAUAUCUUUAUGAUAAAUAUUUCAUCCUGAGCAAGUGUGAAGCAUAUACGCUUGGCAGAUUUGAUAAAAGAAAUGCUCUGUAAAUUUCGCCAUUGAUAGCCAGAGAGGGCUUUGCGGCGUAGGAGCGGGGUUCUCUAAAAACUGUACGCCAUGAGGGUCUUGUGCACCGACACUAUGUCUCAAGUGAUAUUACCAUAAAAGACAUAUGAUUUCAUCCUAAGUCCAGGUUUAGGUUACCUGCAUCAUAGAUAAAGAGUUUUAGAAAUAUAAAAACAACCGAAAAAAUUUUAUCGUGAUUCCUAGAAGGGAGUACCAAACGGGACUUACACCAAAAAAUUUGGAAAAAUCCAUAUUUCAGUGUGUAGUUGCGGUAGAAAAUAUUUACAGAAAAGGAAGGAAAAGAAAAGCCAUUAAGAGGAUAUUUGUGGAGGUAGGAUGCUCUCCUAUGUAAUUCUCUCUUUUUUUUGGCGACGAAUGGAUCUUCCUUAAUGCGCUUCUUCUUUCUCUAUCUCAGGUGGGUGUGUUAUCUAAUGUUUCUUUUUUUCUUUCAUCUCAUGUCGUGUCCCUUUGAUAUGUCGAAUGGUUUCUUUUAUAGGCGAAGUGGGAAGGAGUGGCCAAAUGCAGGAGGAGGAAGGAUCCUGCAAGACGUUAAAUUGGUGGGGUCCGCAAUUUCGUCGUUUCUUCGGAGGAAGCAGCGAGGCGGUUUUGAUUUUGCGGCGGGGCCUACAGUUUUGCCCAUGGUUUUGGUGCAUGGGAGGCUUAGGUAAUUGAAGUGGGGGCCACGCGAAUAAUCCGUCAUUUGUUUUGUUCGUGCGUGGGAAGCUUUGCAGUAAUUCCGCGGUGUCCUGUGUUUGGCAUUCAGCAGUCACGGGUUACCAUUGUCAGAUGUUUCUUGAAUACCUUAGAUUUUGGAUGGUAGUGGACCUCUUCUGAUGUAGAGAACGCCGGUUUUUGAUGAUGGUGGAGUUGGACAAGAGGGUGUUCAAUCAUGAUGGAGUUGGAUCAGAAGGAAAGGGUCGUUGCCGGAGGUAUAGUAAUCUAUAAAGUCGGCAAAUAUUAUACUUGGAACGACGACUUCUGUGUAGGAAGCAUCUCGGCACCGACUUUAAUAAGUAUCUUAUCUCCAAAAACAGGGAUCAUGUGGCCAAUGAGAGGCCACAAAAACCCCGCGAAUCGAAAACGCGGGAAUCGUCGCCCCCACCCCCUCUCUCUCUCUCCCUCUCUCUCUCUCUCUCAUGGCGACUCUUCUCCUCUCUCCGCCCACCACCACCGCGCUCUUCUCCCCCAAAACCCUAACCCUAGCGACCAGAACCGCCCCCGCCCCUCCAUCUCGAUCCAUUCGGGUCAACGCCGCAGCGAGCUCCGCCGAGCCGGAGAAGGCGGCGGCGGUGUCGCCCGCCCAGGGAGGCGGCGAUGGUGACGCUGCGGCGGCGGAGGCGCCGCCUCCUUCCUCCGGCUCCGCCGUCUUGCGGCCGAAGAAGCCGGUGUACUCUAGUGAGUUCUCUUUCACGCUCUACAAGUGUUUGAUGUAAUGUCGCAGUGGGGAUUACAAUUAUGGUAGAAAUGUAUGGAGCUUCGAACCCCCUUCACUAUAAGCCAUUCCAAAAUAGACCCUCAAUUAUAUAUAUUUUUAUUUUUUUAUUCUUUGGUUCACACCUCUUUAAUUUUGAAUCCUUUUGAUUCAAGUAGUUUACGCCAUUCGAGCCACAAAUAUAUGACUAUUAGCUAUCAGGUGUCGCAGUCGACAUUUUUAUUAGUGAAAAAAAUUAUAAAAUCAUUAAAUAUAACAAAAAUUUUCAACAAAUUCCCCAAUUACCUGAUGUGGAUCAUCUAAUUCAAACCAAUUGAAAGUUGACCUGGAUUUUGAUUUUAUCCGCAAAGUUUAUUUGAAACAAUUUAGUUCCUGAAGUUUGAUUCCAAUCUCGAUUUCAUAUAUAGAGUUUGAAUAUUGUUAAUUUAGUUCGUAAAGCUUGACCCUGAAUUUGAUUUUGUCAUAGAAGUUUUGUUUUUAACAAUAAAGGUGUAAAAUUUUGACCCGGAUAUCAAUUUUAGUUCGGAGUUUCAACUGCGACAAUUUGGUCCAUGAAGUUUGCCCCUGAUCGUGAUUUUGUUCUCGGAGUUUCCAUAUUGACAAUUUAGUCGAUAAAUAUUGAUAACAAUUUCAACUUCAUCCUUGAUUGUUUUUUAAUUUAUUUUAACAAUGCAAAGUGUGACAAAUUCCUAUUAAGGCUUAAGCAAUGUCUACUAUGGGUGUUUAUUAUUUUGCCUUGUGAUUAUUCAGUUACAUGAAAUCAUUUCAAGUUUUAUUACUUUUUUUUCCCUUCCGAAUGGGUAAAAGUAGAAAAAAGUUGCCCCGAAGUGCUUGCGUAAUGCCUUUUAUUUUAUUUAUUGUGGCCUAAACUUUUUAUAGUGUUAAAUUAUAUGAAACAGUUGUUUUUCUUCAAAAGCUUAAGCUAUCAGAGAAUAAUGUGUAUACAUUUCAUAUUCAACACUCUCCCUCACAUCUAGCCUCGAGGCAGAAAACUAAAUAAUGUUAGGAGUCUGAUGGAACUCGACCUCAAGACCUUAUGCGCUAAUACCAUGUUAAAUUAUAUGAAACAACCGUUUUUCUCCAAAAGCUUAAGCUACCGGAGAAUGAUGUUUUAUAUACUUUAUAUUCAACAUCUAGAAAUAAGCAUUUCCAAAAUUUCCUGCUUUCCAGUGAAGAAAGGGCAGAUUGUACGUGUGGACAAAGAGAAGUACCUAAACAGCAUCAAUGUGAGCUUGCUCUCCCUCAAUUUGCGUUUAAAUGAGUGUUGUUUAGGAUUCUUCAUGUUAGCUUUUCUUUGUUCAUGUGAUAUUUUAUAAGAUAUAUUGAGCAUGUUCCUUAGAAUGUAUAUUGUGGUGUAAAUUUUGUGCACAUAUUCUAAAUUUGUCUUCUGUCAUUUCAGUAUCUAUCCGUCGGCCAUCCACCUUUUUAUAAAGGGUUGGACUACAUAUAUGAAGACCGUGGCGAGGUAAUGACAAAUCUUUUGUACUUGAUUGCUUUCACAUACUUUUAAUCGUACAUCAGGUUGAAAUUACAUUACGUAGUACAUAUUUCUCUCUUUUAAGCCAGCUCUUUGCUAUCUUUUCUCUAGAAGAUUAAUUUUCACACCUCUACUUGCUGCUGUUUUUGCUGCUUGCUGAAUUGUUUGUUAUAUACUUCUAGGUUUUGGACAUACGAAUUUUCGAGACUGGGGAAUAUGCUCUUGUAAGUCAAUUCCUCUUAAUGUUUUGAAUUGAUUAUUUAUGUUGUAAUCUUAUACCAGCACUUUGUGUAUUUUGUAAAAAAAAAAAAAAAUUAGGUUUUUGUUGUUCCAGCUCUGGUUAUCAGAAUGUAAGAGUUACAUAAAUAAGCUGCAUAGGGAACAUCUCUUACUACAUUUAUUAGGAGUUAAUUAACUGCCGGAAAAGGUAAAAUGUUGAUAACCUUUUUCACUAAAUUUAUUGAGCAUGGUUCAAUUUUACUUGCAAGCGGAAAAUAAAAUCAGUAUAAUCAGUUUUUAUUUCUAAAAUCAAACCGAAAACGGAAUUCCAAAGUCUUUUCAUGUUAAAAACUGAAUCGAACCAAACUACUCAAUUAAACCCAAUUAACCAAAAUUGUUUUGAGUCUGGCAAUCUGGUAAACCAAAGUAAUAACACAACCCUCCCUGGUGGCAGUGGUGCAACUAAUUAGGUCAACUAGUAAACUUCGCUCCUAAUAGCUGGUUUAACUCUGUUAGGGAAGAGAAUUUAGAUACCUUUUCAUUUCAGAUUUUACCCUUUAUUAAC
RNAcentral lists this long non-coding RNA (4689 nucleotides) under Ananas comosus (pineapple). RNAcentral describes it as "long non-coding RNA (ACOM_LNC028835)". Lineage: Eukaryota; Viridiplantae; Streptophyta; Magnoliopsida; Poales; Bromeliaceae. The record is from RNAcentral.